CCUUGUACACACCGCCCGUCAAACCAUGAGAGUUGGCAACACCCGAAGUCGGUAGUCUAACCGCAAGGAGGACGCCGCCGAAGGGUGGGGGUUGAUGAUUAGGGGUUAAGUCGUAACAAGGUAAC
Molecule: ribosomal RNA, 125 nt
Filed under: uncultured bacterium
Lineage: Bacteria
Description: partial 16S ribosomal RNA
Rfam family: Bacterial small subunit ribosomal RNA
Source: RNAcentral